CGACGGAAUUCUGCACCAACAGGAAUCAAAAUAAGUUAGAGAUCAUUACCAAACAAAUUUUGAUCUUAAUCUCCUUUGAUCCAAUGAUUGAAGAGGGUAUUUCUUAGAUCUCUCAUAGCCACAUGAAGUCAUCUGGACUCUAUAGAAAAAUUCAUGCGAAGACUGACGCAGAUCAGAGACUUGGAGAUGCUAGUCUGCAAGCAACUUCGACAGUUAAUCUUUUUCUUCUUCUACAAGCACCUUGGACACUCCAAAGUAGUAGAGGAUCUGGAUAAGGAAAGGAGGAGGAGAAGAGCCCUGAAAAAUAAAAAAAUAGUAAGAGAAUUGAUCAUGGGACGUCCAAGAGAGGGGACCCCUUUUUAUAGACUAGGAAUUAGAGUUUUUCCAAAGAAGGGUGCCAAUAGUCCAUGCCAAAAUC
RNAcentral lists this long non-coding RNA (418 nucleotides) under Elaeis guineensis (African oil palm). Its description in RNAcentral is "long non-coding RNA (EGUI_LNC077924)". Lineage: Eukaryota; Viridiplantae; Streptophyta; Magnoliopsida; Arecales; Arecaceae. The record is from RNAcentral.